CGAACCCACGUACGUUGAAAAGUGCGGGGAUGAGGUGUGGGUAGCGGAGAAAUUCCAAACGAACUUGGAGAUAGCUGGUUCUCUCCGAAAUAGCUUUAGGGCUAGCCUCGGAAUUGAGAAUGAUGGAGGUAGAGCACUGUUUGGACUAGGGGCCCAUCUCGGGUUACCGAAUUCAGAUAAACUCCGAAUGCCAUUCAUUCAUAUCCGGGAGUCAGACUGUGAGUGAUAAGAUCCAUAGUCGAAAGGGAAACAGCCCAGACCACCAGCUAAGGUCCCAAAAUAUAUGUUAAGUGGAAAAGGAUGUGGGGUUGCACAGACAACUAGGAUGUUGGCUUAGAAGCAGCCACCAUUUAAA
RNAcentral lists this ribosomal RNA (355 nucleotides) under Enterococcus faecium. RNAcentral describes it as "partial 23S ribosomal RNA". It matches the Rfam family "Bacterial large subunit ribosomal RNA", at positions 775 to 1127 of the family's 2925-position model. The record is from RNAcentral. Lineage: Bacteria; Bacillati; Bacillota; Bacilli; Lactobacillales; Enterococcaceae.